Long non-coding RNA from Helianthus annuus (common sunflower), 4150 nucleotides. RefSeq lists it as uncharacterized. The transcript is spliced from 15 exons. The record is from RefSeq and is a predicted model, not a curated record. NCBI's taxonomy places the organism in Eukaryota, Viridiplantae, Streptophyta, Magnoliopsida, Asterales, Asteraceae.
CAUUCUCUCUAACCCUGCCGAUGCACAGUUCUCACUCUCUCUCUAUAUAACUGCUACUCGAUCACACGAUUAAUCGAAAACUUCUUCUCUCUCUAACUUCUGCUUCCCUUUGUUCUAGAGAGAGAAAGUGCAGAGACGAAAUGGCCAUGGUUUACGAUCGUUCGAAAACUUGCUCCAGAGAGAAAGUGCAGUGGUUGACGAUCAAUCUCGAAAACUCGCGUCCUUCUGGUUCUUAGAGAGAAAAUGAAGAGAUGAAAUGGCUGCCGAUCAAUCGAAAUUGCGUCUGGCUCUCGUUAGGUUAUUGAGUUGCGGAUUUCGAUCACAACGUAUUCUAGAGAGAGAAAGUGAAGAGAAGAAUUGGAACAUGGUGGUGAUCUCAAUGAGGCUGUGUCAAUGCAGAUUUCACCGAAAGAGAUAGAAACAUAUUCAUUAAAUUUCAUAUGGCACAUAAUUAGAAACACUAAUUAUAAGUCUUUUUUUCACCUUUUUACUUUUUGAAACAUUUCUCUAUACUACUGUUCUAGAUAUCGUGAAACGUCUAUUGCUGCUCCACAAGUUGACCCGAACUUACCAGAAGUGUAUUUGAUAGCGGACCAGGGCUCAGAACUGGUGAACCGUUCAUCUCCCAUUCAAGAGAAGCUAGACAGAUUCCCAUUGAGGUCAAGGAUGGGCCCGGCUACAGAAUCAGAACGUUCUGGACAUGCUCCUAGAAUCGAGGAUGUCACUGAGACUGCAAUAGAACAUGUCCCAGAGACCAAGUGCUCCACAAGUUGGUGAUUUACCUGAUUAUGGUAUUGAAGAAGAAAUGAUUCGGGCUGCAAUUGGAGCUUCCAAACAAGAUUCCCAGAAUUGGCACAAACAGUCUCUCUGUCUUUAAACGUUUACUUUUUACCAUUUUCAUAAUGUGAUAAAACACUCCUGCUAAGUUCUCUCCUUCCUACUUAACAAUGAUCUUUUUCAGACUGCUGAGCAAGAGAAAUUAAGCUUUACGCCAACAAUGAUCUAAAGUGGGACCAUCAGAACCAAGGGGGUCUAAGAUGGUUGAGGUGGAAGAAAUGGAGACAGUGACAUCUCAGUACUAAUCGGGUUUGUUCUCGAAUAUUACUUCAUUUUUAGUUUAUAAACUGAUUUCCGUUUAAAACUGUCAAGUUUUCCUGCAUGAGAUACUAAGGCAGCAGCUCACAGUCACAGCCCAACACUAGUUUGGCUUGGCCUAGAAUUGUCCAAACUUAUGUUUGGGUUUAUUUUUGGAAUUAUAGGCAGCUUAGGCCUGGCACAUAUAUCUUUCAGGUUGAGCUACUUUACAAUGCUUUGGAAAAGAUGUUUUGGGCCUGGAUGGAUUUCAACAAUCUCAUCAAACUGUUCAAGCCCAGUUUGUUUUCGAAUAUUAAUUCCUUUUCAAUUUACUAACCGACUUUCAUUCUAGAAUUUCAUGAAUUUUACACGAGACCAGAAGGCUUUAGCUCACAGCCCAGCACUAGGUGGUUAUGUUCUUGAAUCAUACUUCAUUUUAAAUUUGCUAAGGACUUUUCUAUUAAAAUUUCAUUUUUUCCUACACGAGACCCAACACUACAGCUGAUCACGGCACUAGGUGGUUACAAGUUUUUCUACACUAGACCCAAAGGCUGCAACUAGCAGCCCCCGCACUAGGCAGGUUUUUCUAUACAAGACUUGAAGACUGCACCUCACAACUCAGCACUAGUCUGGAGACUCAAAGACGACUGGUCACAGGCUAACACUAUUGAGGAGCAGAUCGAGUUCUUGCUUGUGAUCUUCAUUCUGGGAAAUCGAUGGGCUAUUUUGACAUUUCAGUUGAUCAUGUUCAUGGUCAUGUAAUGGGUAUUAUCUAUUUGAAGCAACGAAACCACAUCUUGUUAUAUUUGUAAUGGAUAGAAGUAUUGGUCAAGCCGCAUUUGACAAAGCUAAAGCAUUUAAGCGGAAUGUUGUUGUUGGAGCUGUUAUUGGUACAAAAAUGGAUGGUCAUGAAAAGGGUGGUGGAAAUUGCCAGACCCUGUAGUUACAAAUCUAUGCUAGUAUAUAAUGUCCAUUAAGACACGAAUCCAUUUUGACCAGUUAUCCAACCCGAAGUUAAAUAUUUUUCUUCUCAUUUUUACUGUGUAGUAUGCACUAAUUGGCCUUUGUCUUAAUUGCCGAGUGUUAUGUGCCUUAUGUCCAAGACUUGAUGCGAAACUACCAUCGAGCCGAGGGUCUCACUGGAAGCAACCUCUCUAUUCCUACAGGGUAGAGCAAUUGGAGGACAGUUGGCCAAAGUCCAAGCUUGAAAGCAGAGGUGUGUUUUAUUUACAAUAUAUCUCAGAUUUUAAUUGUGCUUGGUCAUAUUAUUCAUGUUUAACAUUACCAUUGGAUCUUAUCCUCAUGUCUCAAGGUACCUACUCUUCAUUUCAAAAUAUUAUUUUUUUUCUACACGAGAUCUGAAGACUGCAACUCACAACUCAUCAGUAGUCGCAUAUGUUCUCGAAAAUUACUUCCUAUUCCGUUCACUAACGGACAUCUGUUUUUAAGGUUUAGUUUUUUCUACACGAGACCCCCUGCAACUCGCAGCCCAACACUAGUGAGUUCUGUCUUUCUACACGAGACCUCAAAAUUACGCUCACAGCGGCUACAUGCCAAUUGCCAGAAGUCAUGAAACGCCUGUUGCUGCUCCACAAGUUGACUCGAACUUCACCAGAAGUAUAUUUGAUAGCGGAGCAGGGCUCAGAAUUUGUGAACCAUUUAUCUCCCAUCCCAGAGAAGUUAGACAGAUUCCCAUUGAGGUCAAGGAUGGGCCCGGCCCCACUACAGAAUCAGAACGUUCCAGACAUGCUCCUAGAAUCGAGGAUGUCACUGAGACUGCAACAGAAAAUGUCCCAGAGACCAAGUGCUCCACAAGCAGUCUCUCUAGUCUCUAUCUUUAAAGACUGCCGAGCAAGAGAAAGCUUUACGCCAACAAGGAUCUGAAGUGGAACCAUCAGAACGGAAGGUUGGAAGCGAGAUGAAGUUGAAGAAGCAGAAGAACAACCUCUGGUUUGAAACAGUAGUCGACUUAUGUCCUCUCAAUCUAUUGAUUCUGCUGAUGACAUUGAAGAAGUACACCUAAACUUACACUCCAGUUUCUGCAAAGAAAAAAUAAAUAAAUAUUAGGGAAGAUUUAGUUAUUAAUGAUUGAGAUGUGAGCUGCAGUCUUCGGGUCAUGUGUAAAAAAUCCGAAACUAUAAAACGGAAGCGGUUGGUAAACUGAAAAGAAUAUAAGAUUUACAAAGGACUUCUCUAUUAAAUUUUUACACGAAAAGAAUAUAAUUUUACACGAGACCAGAAAUCUGCAGCUCACAGCCCAGCACUAGGUGGUUAUGUUCUUGAAUCUUACUACUUUUUAAAUUUACUACGGACUUCUUUAUUAAAAUUUUCAUUUUACUUACACGGGGCCCAACACUACAGCUGAUCACAGCCCAGAUGUAAUCGGUAUGUUCUACUUUUGUUUUCAAGUACAAAUUCUUCUACACGAGAUCCCAUGACUGCAACUCACAGCCCCGCACUAGGCAGCUAUGUUUUCGAAGAUGAAAUCCUUUUUUUUACAUGAGAUCCUGAAAUUACAGUUCACUGCUGCAAUGUGUUAGGAUCUAAGCACAUGUCAGGUAUGUUCAAGGAUCUUAUUAUCUUUUCCGUUUGCCAACCGACUAGCGUUUGAAAAUUUCUGUUAUUCUACACGUGACCCGAAUAAUGCAGUUCACAGCCCGACAUCAGACAUGCAUGUUCUCGAAUUUGCUUCUUUUUUACUGACUAACUUCCUCUACAAAAUCUCAUAUUAUUUUACACCAGACCCCAAAACUGCAGUUCACAGCCGUGCUAGUCAGCUAAACUUGUUGCUAAUCUGAUAACCGAAGCAGGAACAGAUCGAGUUCUUGCAUGUGAUCUUCAUUCUGGGAAAUCGAUGGGCCCUUUUGACAUUCCAGUUGAUCAUGUUCAUGGUCAGGUAAUGGGUAUUAUCUAUUUGAUAGUUGCUGUAAAUAUAGUCACUCCGGUUAAAUCUGCAUCGAUGUGAACUUGCUUAUUGAGUCAUCACAUCUAUGAUUAUAUUUAGUUUUUUUAUAUCCUUACUGUUUGUGAUGCGGAUAGACCCGAUCUCUUUAAUUAUCUCUUUAUUUGAAUUUAA